RNAcentral lists this ribosomal RNA (230 nucleotides) under uncultured eukaryote. Its description in RNAcentral is "partial 16S ribosomal RNA". It matches the Rfam family "Bacterial small subunit ribosomal RNA", at positions 597 to 826 of the family's 1533-position model. The record is from RNAcentral.
AAAKACUGGGGCUCAACCCYWGAAAAGCAGUGGAAACUGCUAGACUUGAGUGUGGUAGAGGUAGAGGGAAUUCCUAGUGUAGCGGUGAAAUGCGUAGAUAUUAGGAAGAACACCAAUGGCGAAGGCRCUCUACUGGGCCAUAACUGACACUGAGAGACGACAGCUAGGGGAGCAAAUGGGAUUAGAUACCCCAGUAGUCCUAGCCGUAAACGAUGGAUACUAGAUGUUGC